RNAcentral lists this ribosomal RNA (460 nucleotides) under uncultured bacterium. RNAcentral describes it as "partial 16S ribosomal RNA". It matches the Rfam family "Bacterial small subunit ribosomal RNA", at positions 338 to 795 of the family's 1533-position model. The record is from RNAcentral.
CCUACGGGAGGCAGCAGUGAGGAAUAUUGGUCAAUGGACGAGAGUCUGAACCAGCCAAGUAGCGUGAAGGAUGACUGCCCUAUGGGUUGUAAACUUCUUUUAUAUGGGAAUAAAAUGUUCCACGUGUGGGAUUUUGUAUGUACCAUAUGAAUAGGGAUCGGCUAACUCCGUGCCAGCAGCCGCGGUAAUACGGAGGAUCCGAGCGUUAUCCGGAUUUAUUGGGUGUAAAGGGAGAGUAGGUGGAUUGUUAAGUCAGUUGUGAAAGUUUGCGGCUCAACCGUAAAAUUGCAGUUGAAACUGGCAGUCUUGAGUACAGUAGAGGUGGGCGGAAUUCGUGGUGUAGCGGUGAAAUGCUUAGAUAUCACGAAGAACUCCGAUUGCGAAGGCAGUUCACUGGACUGCAACUGACACUGAGGCUCGAAAGUGUGGGUAUCAAACAGGAUUAGAUACCCUUGUAGUC